AUGUCCGAGGAGGUGAGCACUGCACUAGCUUGCCCCAUUACCCAGUUCCCAAUCACCUACCUGGGUCUCCCGUUGUCACUUUGGAAGCCGCCAUCUUUCGCCUUCGACCCGCUCAUUGUUCGACUUCAGAAGAAGCUGCCCACCUGGCGUGCCGCCCUUCUUUCUAGGGGCGAGAGACUCGCUUUGGCUCGCCACGUCCUCUCUGCUAUGCCUUCUCACAUCCUGGUGGCGAUUGCUCUGAAUGCUACCACCCUUAAGCACGCCAACCGAGUCAUCCGCGAUUUCCUGUGGCAUGGGCGCAAGGACGCGCCGACAGGAUGUUGCCCUGUCAACUGGCAUAGGGUGUGCAUGCCGCUCAACCUCGGCGGCCUUGGCGUGCGUGAUCUCUUCCACGUGGGCAUCGCCCUCCGAGUCCGUUGGCUCUGGCUUCAGCACACUGAUCACAACCGAUCGUGGAAACACCUCUAG
Molecule: ribosomal RNA, 468 nt
Filed under: Triticum aestivum (bread wheat)
Lineage: Eukaryota; Viridiplantae; Streptophyta; Magnoliopsida; Poales; Poaceae
Description: partial small subunit ribosomal RNA
Source: RNAcentral